RNAcentral lists this ribosomal RNA (425 nucleotides) under uncultured bacterium. RNAcentral describes it as "partial 16S ribosomal RNA". It matches the Rfam family "Bacterial small subunit ribosomal RNA", at positions 354 to 796 of the family's 1533-position model. The record is from RNAcentral.
GUGGGGAAUAUUGGGCAAUGGGGGCAACCCUGACCCAGCAACGCCGCGUGAAGGAAGAAGGUUUUCGGAUCGUAAACUUCUAUCCUUGGUGAAGAUAAUGACGGUAGCCAAGAAGGAAGCCCCGGCUAACUACGUGCCAGCAGCCGCGGUAAUACGUAGGGGGCAAGCGUUGUCCGGAAUGAUUGGGCGUAAAGGGCGCGUAGGCGGCCUGGUAAGUCUGGAGUGAAAGUCCUGCUUUUAAGGUGGGAAUUGCUUUGGAUACUGUCGGGCUUGAGUGCAGGAGAGGUAAGUGGAAUUCCCGGUGUAGCGGUGAAAUGCGUAGAGAUCGGGAGGAACACCAGAGGCGAAGGCGACUUACUGGACUGUAACUGACGCUGAGGCGCGAAAGUGUGGGGAGCAAACAGGAUUAGAUACCCGGGUAGUCC